GGUCAAGCUACUAAGGGCGUACGGUGGAUGCCUUGGCGUCAGGAGGCGAUGAAGGACGUAGACAGUUGCGAUAAGCCUCGGGGAGCCGCUAAACAGGCAUUGAUCCGGGGAUUUCCGAAUGGGGAAACCUGCCUGAGUAAACCUCAGGCAUCAUUAGCUGAAUACAUAGGCUAAUGAGGCUAACGAGGGGAAGUGAUACAUCUCAGUACCCUCAGGAAGAUAAAUCAAUUGAGAUUCCCUGAGUAGUGGCGAGCGAAACGGGAAGAGCCCAAACCUCUUUGCUUGCAAAGGGGGGUUGCGGGACCUCAAUAUGGGAUGUGGCGGAAUAGCAGAAGGGUCUGGAAAGGCCUGCCAUAGAGGGUGAUAGCCCCGUAUGUAAAAUUCCAAUACACCCUAGAGGUAUCCCAAGUACCACAGGACACGAGAAAUCCUGUGGGAAUCCGGGUGGACCAUCAUCCAAGGCUAAAUACUACCUGACGACCGAUAGUGCACUAGUACCGUGAGGGAAAGGCGAAAAGAACCCCGAAAGGGGAGUGAAAUAGAACCUGAAACCGUAUGCCUACAAACAGUUCAAGGGCUAUGCCCCGCAAGGGGAAUGCCUGAGAGCGUGCCUUUUGCAUAAUGACUCAGCGAGUUACUGUGCGUGGCAAGGUUAAGCCGUAAGGUGGAGCCGUAGCGAAAGCGAGUCUUAAAAGGGCGACAAGUCGCGUAUAGUAGACCCGAAGCCAGGCGAUCUACCCAUGGCCAGGAUGAAACGAGGGUAACACCUCGCGGAGGUCCGAACUGGUGUUUGUUGCAAAAAGCUCAGAUGAGCUGUGGGUAGGAGUGAAAGGCUAAACAAGACUGGUGAUAGCUGGUUCUUCCCGAAAUAUAUUUAGGUAUAGCCUCGUGAAAUUAAUUGCCGGGGGUAGAGCACUGAAUGGGCUAGGGCCCUUACCGGGGUACCAAACCCAAUCAAACUCCGAAUACCGGUUAAUUGUAUCACGGGAGUCAGUCCGUAGGGGAUAAGCUCUAUGGUCGAGAGGGGAACAACCCAGACCGCCAGCUAAGGUCCCUAAAUGCAGGCUAAGUGGAAAAGGAUGUGGAACUACUUAGACACCCAGGAGGUUGGCUUAGAAGCAGCCAUCCUUUAAAGAAAGCGUAACAGCUCACUGGUUUAGUGGGGCUGCGCCGAAAAUGUACCGGGGCUCAAGCCUGCUACCGAAGCUGCGGAUUUACAGAAUCUUCGGAUUCUAUAAGUGGUAGGGAAGCUUUCCAGUAACCUGUGAAGGUGGAUCGUAAGAACCACUGGAGGACCUGGAAGUGCUUAUGCUGAGAUAAGUAGCGUACAAUGCGGGUGUAAAACCCGCACGCCGUAAACCUAAGGUUUCCUGGGUAAAGUUAAUCUUCCCAGGGUUAGUCGGGACCUAAGCCGAGGCCGAAAGGCGUAGGUGAUGGAAAACGGAUUAAUAUUUCCGUACCGCCUGUUUAACAUUUGAGCGAAGGGGGGACGGAGGAGGGUAGGUCAUCCGGGUGACGGUUGUCCCGGUUCAAGCCAGAAGGCGGGGAAGGCAGGUAAAUCCGCUUUCCUAUUCAACGCUGAUGGGUUAUGAGGAGGAAAGCCGCAAGGCAGACCGAACUGACUAAGCCCACACUUUCAAGAAAAGCCUCGUAGCGAGUUAAUUAGGCGCCCGUACUGCAAACCGACUCUGGUAGGUAGGUAGAAUAUACCAAGGCGCUUGAGAGAACCCUGGUUAAGGAACUUAGCAAUCUAGCCCCGUAACUUCGGGAUAAGGGGUGCCUCGCUAGGGUUUAUAGCCCGAGGAGGUCGCAGAGAAAUGGGGGUUGCGACUGUUUAACAAAAACACAGGACUCUGCUAACACGAAAGUGGAUGUAUAGGGUCUGACGCCUGCCCGGUGCCGGAAGGUUAAGGAGAUUUGUCAGCCGCAAGGCGAAGCAGAGAACCGAAGCCCCGGUAAACGGCGGCCGUAACUAUAACGGUCCUAAGGUAGCGAAAUUCCUUGUCGGGUAAGUUCCGACCUGCAUGAAUGGCGUAACGAUAGCCCCGCUGUCUCAACCAGGGACUCAGCGAAUUUGAAAUGCCAGUGAAGAUGCUGGCUCCCCGCAUCAAGACGGAAAGACCCCGUGCACCUUUACUAUACCCUGGUAUUGGAUUUUGGAACAAUCUGUGUAGGAUAGGUGGGAGACUUUGAAGCCGGGCCGCUAGGUUCGGUGGAGUCAAUGUUGAAAUACCACCCUGAUUAUUCUGAAAUUCUAACCUUGACCCGUAAUCCGGGUUGGGGACAGUGCCAGGCGGGUAGUUUGACUGGGGCGGUCGCCUCCCAAAUUGUAACGGAGGCGCGCGAAGGUUCCCUCAGGCUGAUUGGAAACCAGCCGGCGAGUGUAAAGGCAUAAGGGAGCUUAACUGCAAGACCUACAAGUCAAGCAGGUGCGAAAGCAGGUCUUAGUGAUCCGGUGGUUCUGUAUGGAAUGGCCAUCGCUCAACGAAUAAAAGGUACGCCGGGGAUAACAGGCUGAUCUGGCCCAAGAGUUCAUAUCGACGGCCAGGUUUGGCACCUCGAUGUCGGCUC
RNAcentral lists this ribosomal RNA (2571 nucleotides) under Deltaproteobacteria bacterium. Its description in RNAcentral is "partial 23S ribosomal RNA". It matches the Rfam family "Bacterial large subunit ribosomal RNA", at positions 1 to 2538 of the family's 2925-position model. Lineage: Bacteria; Pseudomonadati; Myxococcota; Myxococcia. The record is from RNAcentral.